UUCAUCUCAAACCUAUGAAGUACCUACUAUUAUGAUCCUCGUUGUACAGAUGAAGAAACUGAGGUUUGGAGAGAUUAAGUGAUUUGGCUAUUCACAGCUAGUAAGAGCCCGAGCAGUUUUGGCCUUCCUGAUUUCAAGUUCAAUAGCCUACCUACUAAAUUAUGCUGAGUAGGGAAACUAGAAGAGGAUUAAUAACGGGGCCAACCAUGGAUUUUGUCAUUUGCAGGGCUGAGGCUGAACAAGUGAUACAGACAGCAUGUCUUGUGAUUUUAUGUUAGAAUAAAUGCCAGGCCAUGGAGUGAGAAAACUACUCCCUACUAAGUGUCUGCUGUGAGAUUUGACCUGUGUUUAGGUGCAGAGCAUUAUUAUGAUUAUUUUCUGCACUGACAGGACACUGCUGGGAGGAUGCUUUUGCCGGUGGAGAGAAUGUCUGGAGAGAAGCUGGCUAUUUAUGCUCCGUUUAAACAUUCAUGAGCCCUAGCAGUUAAAAAUAAGAUCCAGCUGCAGAGAUAAUCAUCCAGGAAAAUUCAGAGGUGACCAAUAACAGAUCAGGGAAAAACAUUCUUGCAACAUGGCCUUCUUACUCCCAAAUACCCCGAUGGGUAGAAAUAGGAUUCACUGGCUAAGGGUCUCUGCUGCUCAGGAUGCUAUAAGAAUGAAUGAGAUAUGUUAAGAGGACUGUCUGUGAAUCAGAGAGCCAGAUAUUGGUUGCUGAAAGCUUCGGUCCUCGCUGCGAAAGAAACUACCAAAUUGAGACUACUCUCUGGAAAUUUACCCAGACACUAAUGGCUUCAGUGAAAUUAUUAAACAACAAUUGGCCUUGAUGGCAGAAGUGUAAACGGGAUCCUUAUUAAUGAUUUUACCAAUUGUUCUUCUAUUGCUGACAUAUGUCAAGAUAACAUAAGAUUAUAGAAUCAUAGAUCUGGAAGGGAUCUGUGAGGUCAUCUAGCUUAGUCCCCCCAAUUUGCAGAUGAGUUUAAAGACAGGAUUAUUUAGUAUGGAGAAGAAUUGAACUCCUGUCUAUAACUAAAUGAAAGGCAAGUCUUAUAGAAGAGGUCAUCAAAAUGUGGUUCCAGGAUCCUUGGGAGUCCCAAAGACCCUUUCAGGAGUUGAAGUCAAAACUAUUUUCCAAAAAAUCCUAAGGCAUUUAAGUGUCUAAUAUUGUAAAGAUAUAAGUUGCAUAAACUCCUUGGGGGAUCCUUGAUAAUUUUUGAGCAUAUUGAGACUAAAAGUUUGAGGACUGCUAUCAGAGAAUGAUGGAUCAUUUUCAAUAAUGACUUUUAUAUUAGCAAUUAUUAUUGUUAUUAUGCAUUUUAAAGUUUGCAAAGCACUUUUCUUAAAACAUGCCUAUGAGGUAAGCAGGGCAAAAAUUAUUAUCUCUAUUUUAUAGAAGAAAUUAAGGGAUUCACCAAAGUCACAAAUCUAAGUAAUUAUCUAAAUGAGAAUUCAAAUCUAGGUCUUCUAGAGCUAGAUUUUCUCCACUACACCAGGCUGCCUAUUUUUUCUAACUAGCCUCCUUCUAAUUGCCUCCCAUGAUGGCAGUAUUAUGGCUUCCUAGAUGAGAGAUGGAAGAUCAAGGGCUUCA
Long non-coding RNA from Sarcophilus harrisii (Tasmanian devil), 1585 nucleotides. RefSeq lists it as uncharacterized. NCBI's taxonomy places the organism in Eukaryota, Metazoa, Chordata, Mammalia, Dasyuromorphia, Dasyuridae. The record is from RefSeq and is a predicted model, not a curated record. The transcript has 4 exons.